UACGCGGUGGCCUAGUGGAUAACGCUUUUGCCUCGCGAUCUAGAACCCGCGGGUUCAAUUCCACCUGGGGUAA
Molecule: non-coding RNA, 73 nt
Organism: Caenorhabditis brenneri
Lineage: Eukaryota; Metazoa; Nematoda; Chromadorea; Rhabditida; Rhabditidae
Source: the annotation of a GenBank genome assembly